UACGGAGGGUGCAAGCGUUAAUCGGAAUCACUGGGCGUAAAGCGCUCGUAGGCGGUUUGGUCAGUCAGACGUGAAAUCCCGCAGCUUAACUGCGGAACUGCGUUUGAUACUGCCAGACUUGAGUGUCGGAGAGGGUGGCGGAAUUCCGGGUGUAGGAGUGAAAUCCGUAGAUAUCCGGAGGAACACCAGUGGCGAAGGCGGCCACCUGGACGACAACUGACGCUGAGGAGCGAAAGCGUGGGUAGCAAACAGG
Molecule: ribosomal RNA, 253 nt
Filed under: uncultured bacterium
Lineage: Bacteria
Description: partial 16S ribosomal RNA
Rfam family: Bacterial small subunit ribosomal RNA
Source: RNAcentral